GGGCAUAUCACAUUAAAACAUGGGUUCCUGUAUGAUCACCGAAGUUAACCAACAUUGAGCCUGGUCAGUAACUAGAUGGGUGACGACUUGGGAAUAUCAGAUGCUGUAAGC
This is a non-coding RNA of Acanthosepion pharaonis, 111 nucleotides long. The record is from the annotation of a GenBank genome assembly. Lineage: Eukaryota; Metazoa; Mollusca; Cephalopoda; Sepiida; Sepiidae.